GUGGGGAAUAUUGGACAAUGGGCGCAAGCCUGAUCCAGCAAUGCCGCGUGGGUGAAGAAGGUCUUCGGAUCGUAAAGCCCUUUCGACAGGGACGAUGAUGACGGUACCUGUAGAAGAAGCCCCGGCUAACUUCGUGCCAGCAGCCGCGGUAAUACGAAGGGGGCUAGCGUUACUCGGAAUUACUGGGCGUAAAGGGCGCGUAGGCGGCUCUGUUAGUCAGGCGUGAAAUUCCUGGGCUUAACCUGGGGACUGCGCUUGAUACUGCAGGGCUUGAGGCCGAGAGAGGGUGGUGGAAUUCCCAGUGUAGAGGUGAAAUUCGUAGAUAUUAGGAAGAACACCAGUGGCGAAGGCGGCUUACUGGUCCGGAACUGACGCUGAGGUGCGAAAGCGUGGGGAGCAAACAGGAUUAGAAACCCGAGUAGUCC
This 425-nucleotide ribosomal RNA is filed under the name uncultured bacterium. RNAcentral describes it as "partial 16S ribosomal RNA". It matches the Rfam family "Bacterial small subunit ribosomal RNA", at positions 354 to 796 of the family's 1533-position model. The record is from RNAcentral.